This 513-nucleotide ribosomal RNA is filed under the name uncultured bacterium. Its description in RNAcentral is "bacterial SSU rRNA". It matches the Rfam family "Bacterial small subunit ribosomal RNA", at positions 8 to 518 of the family's 1533-position model. The record is from RNAcentral.
AGAAUUUGAUCUUGGUUCAGGAUGAACGCUAGCUACAGACUUAACACAUGCAAGUCGAGGGGUAGCAGGGUAGCAAUACCGCUGACGACCGGCGCACGGGUGAGUAACACGUAUCCAACCUUCCCAUAACUCAGGGAUAGCCUUUCGAAAGAAAGAUUAAUACCUGAUAGUACUUUUUCAAGGCAUCUUGAGAAAGUUAAAGAUUUAUUGGUUAUGGAUGGGGAUGCGUUCCAUUAGAUAGUUGGUGAGGUAACGGCUCACCAAGUCUUCGAUGGAUAGGGGUUCUGAGAGGAAGGUCCCCCACAUUGGUACUGAGACACGGACCAAACUCCUACGGGAGGCAGCAGUGAGGAAUAUUGGUCAAUGGGCGAGAGCCUGAACCAGCCAAGUAGCGUGAAGGAUGAAGGUCCUAUGGAUUGUAAACUUCUUUUAUAGUAGAAUAAAGUGAUCCACGUGUGGAUUUUUGUAUGUAUACUAUGAAUAAGGAUCGGCUAACUCCGUGCCAGCCGCAGC